This is a long non-coding RNA of Harpegnathos saltator (Jerdon's jumping ant), 543 nucleotides long. RefSeq lists it as uncharacterized. NCBI's taxonomy places the organism in Eukaryota, Metazoa, Arthropoda, Insecta, Hymenoptera, Formicidae. The transcript is spliced from 3 exons. The record is from RefSeq and is a predicted model, not a curated record.
GAUAUUUCCAAUUGUUUACACUAUAAUGGAAGGAUGCACUUUUGAUGAUUAUUUAAAUGUUGUAUAAAAAGUCAUCCACGUAAUUAAAUUAGCACCAGAAAUUAUAAUAUCAGAUUUUGAAAAAGCCGAGCGAAAGGCAUUACAAACGAUUUUUCCCAGAGCUAAAGUCAUUGGCUGCUUCUUUCAUUAUAGUCAGGAAAUAAAAGAUAACUAUAUACAAAACAAUAAACAUGAAAUACAUGUCAAUUUUCUUUAUACCGCUUUCUUAUUACAGGCCUUAAUACAUAAUGCUGAGAAGCACAACAUCCUAAAAGGCGACAAAAAGGAAUCAGAGAGACAUGGUUAAAUGGCUUCAAACCUCGUUCAUUUUGUGUUUUUCAACAGUUACACAGAACGAACAAUAUUUCUGAAAGACACAACCGAGAAUUACGAGAAAGCCUAAAGAAACAUUCAAAAAUAGUUGAAUUUUUAGCUAAUCUAAUUGAACACCAAAAAGACAUUCAAAGUAAACUGAAACAUCCAAACUUCUCGGUGAGAUCAGAG